Molecule: long non-coding RNA, 1196 nt
Organism: Ruditapes philippinarum (Manila clam)
Lineage: Eukaryota; Metazoa; Mollusca; Bivalvia; Venerida; Veneridae
Exons: 2
Source: RefSeq, a predicted model, not a curated record
AAUUACCUGUACGAAAAUUCUGAGCCAAUUCUGUACAGACUCUGUACCAACUCUGGUUGUUAUAGAGGCAGAUUUUCAUUUUUCUGUACAGAGUUGACACCGACACAGAAUUGGACACAGAAUCCGCCUAGGAAAUAGGUGAUUUUCUGUGCAGAAUUAAACAGAAUCAAAAAAUUUUCUGUACAGAAAAAUUUUCAUACAGAUAUUUUGCUCUUAGUUAUUUAUAUAAGACAGAAUUUCACUACUUAGAAAAAAAAUUGAGGCAGAAUUUACAUUAACACACAGAAUUUUAACACUUAGAUAAAUCUUGAGACAGAAUUUACUUUUCUAGCCAGAAUUUCACUCUUGAGUUAAUCUCAGAGUAGAAGAAUAUUCUGUAAUACCAGGUGUAACCCCCAUGUAACCCCUGUUGGUCAAUUCAAAUCUCUCAGGCCGCCACGUGAGGUUUUAUUACACAAAGUGUCUUCAUAUUGGCAAAGAUUAUGUUUUGUUUAGUUUAUUUUUCUAAUGAUAAGUUAACAAGUUAGUUGUUGUGAAGUUGUGAAGAGAAAUCAUGACUGUAGAGACUUGAAAUUCUCAGAUUUAGGGGCCAAAGAGGAAUUAUGAUGGAAUUAUAAUCAAAACCAGAGAUUAUGUCAGGAUGUGUGGUGCAAAGACAGAGACAAGCCAAUUCCUGAUGACACUGUGCCCUCAACAAGGCUAUUACUCGUUGGAUAGACUACUCCAGGAAAGAAAUGAAUAAAAAUUGUUAAAUGAAAUUAAUAAAUAAAAAAUGUUCAAAAGGAAAUUGAUUUUGUUUUUAGCCAAAAAAGAAAAUCUGUACAGAAUAUUUUCUGUACAGAAUUUUUUCUGUGCAGAAUUCCCUUUCAGAUAUUUUCUAUGGACAGGGUUAAUUCUGUACAGAAUAUGAAGAAGCCCAGAUUUUUUUCUGCCCAGAUUUUUUUUCUGCCCAGAAUUUUUUUUUCUGCCCAGAUUUUUUUCUGCCCAGAAAAUAUUCGGCUUAAUUUAAAUAUUUCAGAAAAAAUCUGUACAGAUUUUGUUCUUUAUCCUUAUUGCUAAAAUCUAUUAAUAGAAUUCUGGUUCAACUUUGUUUCAUUUAACCAGAUUUUUUUCUGUACAGACUCUGUACAGAGUUUUCAAAAUAAAGUCUGUACAGAUUCUGUCUGCAUUCUGCCCAGACUUUUUCGUACAGGUAA